CAAGAGAUGAGGUGUAUGAAAAUACAACAAGAGAUGAGGUGUAUGAGUGGUUCGUGUCCAUCAGAGUGUCUGCAGCGUAAUUAUUAUUGAGUGAGUGCUCAGAGAAGGUGAAAAGCCUGUGUGGUUGUGUCACUGUGGUGGACCGUUCUACUUACGAGUCUAGUUGUUUGAGAGUACAACUUAAAGUUGGUGGUAAAUUUCAUCAAAGGCUAAAUAUAUGAAGGGACUAAUAGCGAACAAGUACCAUGAGGGAAAGUUGAAAAGUACUCUGACGAGAGAGUUAUACAGUACGUGAAACCAUACUGAGUAAAACGGAUAACUGUGUUGUUUUGCCCAGAUCCAUCAACAGCGCUGCACGCCAUGCCAAACCACAAGAGUCAGCUGUCUAUUCAGCGUCGUGUCUGGUGGUCGGCAGAACGGGUAGCUCUGUGUACUGGUGUCUGGGCGUUCAUUGAGAAACUAUGGUGUUGCGUCAUCGGGGUCGAUCAGUUCGUGCUAUGUGCGUAGAUUGACUCUGGGUGUAUCUGCUAACGCCGUCGUUUGGCCAUUCAUGUGGCCGUGAGAUGCGUUCACCAGCUCGCUCUGCUUUAGCUACGAAUCGGUUUAUUCCUUUUUGUGUCGAGUACGAGUCGGGUGCCUGUGAGCGUCUCGCCAUCAAUGAUAUGAAACAUUAGUUAUUCGACCCGUCUUGAAACACGGACCAAGGAGUUCAAAUGGCACGCGAGUCAUUGGGUUUAAUCACCCGAAGGCGAAGUGAAAUGCAAAUUUAUCGUCA
Molecule: ribosomal RNA, 775 nt
Filed under: Neocypholaelaps ampullula
Lineage: Eukaryota; Metazoa; Arthropoda; Arachnida; Mesostigmata; Ameroseiidae
Description: eukaryotic LSU rRNA
Rfam family: Eukaryotic large subunit ribosomal RNA
Source: RNAcentral